This 175-nucleotide ribosomal RNA is filed under the name Rhene sp. KFS-2007. RNAcentral's name for it is "partial 16S ribosomal RNA". The record is from RNAcentral. Lineage: Eukaryota; Metazoa; Arthropoda; Arachnida; Araneae; Salticidae.
AACAAUUACAUGAUUUGAGUUCAGACCGGUAUAAGCCAGGUCGGUUUCCAUCUUUUUAAAAUAUUUUUGUAGUACGAAAGGACCUAAAAAUUAAAUAUAAUUUUAUUAUGUGGCAGAUAAAUGCAUUAGAAUUAGAAUCUAAUAAUCUAAAUAUUUUUUAAUUAAUUACAUUUUA